This 247-nucleotide ribosomal RNA is filed under the name uncultured bacterium. RNAcentral's name for it is "partial 16S ribosomal RNA". It matches the Rfam family "Bacterial small subunit ribosomal RNA", at positions 86 to 334 of the family's 1533-position model. The record is from RNAcentral.
GUAUGGCGACCGGCGCACGGGUGAGUAACGCGUAUGCAACCUGCCCGAUACCGGGGUAUAGCCCAUGGAAACGUGGAUUAACACCCCAUAGUACUUUUAUCCUGCAUGGGAUGUGAGUUAAAUGUUUAAGGUAUCGGAUGGGCAUGCGUCCUAUUAGUUAGUUGGCGGGGUAACAGCCCACCAAGACGAUGAUAGGUAGGGGUUCUGAGAGGAAGGUCCCCCACAUUGGAACUGAGACACGGUCCAA